CAGAGUAGGUCUGCACGCGUUAAGUGUCGUGUAAACGGGGAGUUGUUACACGGACGAAAAGUUUUCUUGCGGUGAGCAGACCGCAUCCCGCUGU
RNAcentral lists this non-coding RNA (94 nucleotides) under human gut metagenome. Its description in RNAcentral is "THF riboswitch". It matches the Rfam family "THF (Tetrahydrofolate) riboswitch aptamer". From Rfam's summary of the family: THF riboswitch presents a pseudoknot that joins P1-P2 and the loop of P3 and two THF binding. The record is from RNAcentral.